This 497-nucleotide ribosomal RNA is filed under the name uncultured Lactobacillus sp. RNAcentral's name for it is "bacterial SSU rRNA". It matches the Rfam family "Bacterial small subunit ribosomal RNA", at positions 188 to 673 of the family's 1533-position model. Lineage: Bacteria; Bacillati; Bacillota; Bacilli; Lactobacillales; Lactobacillaceae. The record is from RNAcentral.
GCAUGAUCAGCUUAUAAAGGCGGCGUAGCUGUCGCUAUGGGAUGGCCCCGCGGUGCAUUAGCUAGUUGGUAGGGUAACGGCCUACCAAGGCAAUGAUGCAUAGCCGAGUUGAGAGACUGAUCGGCCACAUUGGGACUGAGACACGGCCCAAACUCCUACGGGAGGCAGCAGUAGGGAAUCUUCCACAAUGGACGAAAGUCUGAUGGAGCAACGCCGCGUGAGUGAAGAAGGUUUUCGGAUCGUAAAGCUCUGUUGUUGGUGAAGAAGGAUAGAGGUAGUAACUGGCCUUUAUUUGACGGUAAUCAACCAGAAAGUCACGGCUAACUACGUGCCAGCAGCCGCGGUAAUACGUAGGUGGCAAGCGUUGUCCGGAUUUAUUGGGCGUAAAGCGAGCGCAGGCGGAAGAAUAAGUCUGAUGUGAAAGCCCUCGGCUUAACCGAGGAACUGCAUCGGAAACUGUUUUUCUUGAGUGCAGAAGAGGAGAGUGGAACUCCAUU